This 434-nucleotide ribosomal RNA is filed under the name uncultured bacterium. Its description in RNAcentral is "bacterial SSU rRNA". It matches the Rfam family "Bacterial small subunit ribosomal RNA", at positions 51 to 524 of the family's 1533-position model. The record is from RNAcentral.
ACACAUGCAAGUCGAACGGGCACUUUAGGGUGUCAGCGGCGGACGGUUGACUAACGCGUGGGGAAGUGCCUUCUGGAUCGGAUUAAUUCUAGGGCUACGUGAGAUGAUACCAUGAUACGCCGUUUUGGGAUAAGGUUUAGUGUCGGAAGAUAGGCCCGCGUCUGAUUAGGUACCUGGUGGGGUAUCGGCAUACGCAAGUGGACGAUCGGUACCCUGAUAUGAGAGGAUGAUCAGGUACACUAGUACUGAGACACGGCCCAGAAUCGUAUGGGAGGCAGCAGGUGGGGAAUAUAGGACAAUGAGCGCGAGCGUGAUCCAGCGAUGCUGUGUGUGUGAUGAAGGCUUUGGGAUGGUAGAGUUAUUUUAACCGGGAUGAUGAUGACAGUACCGGGAGAAUAAGCUCCGGCUAACUCCGUGCCAGCAGCCGCGGUAAU